This 253-nucleotide ribosomal RNA is filed under the name uncultured bacterium. Its description in RNAcentral is "partial 16S ribosomal RNA". It matches the Rfam family "Bacterial small subunit ribosomal RNA", at positions 524 to 776 of the family's 1533-position model. The record is from RNAcentral.
UACGUAGGUGGCAAGCGUUGUCCGGAAUUAUUGGGCGUAAAGCGCGCGCAGGCGGUCCUUUAAGUCUGAUGUGAAAGCCCACGGCUCAACCGUGGAGGGUCAUUGGAAACUGGGGGACUUGAGUACAGAAGAGGAAAGCGGAAUUCCACGUGUAGCGGUGAAAUGCGUAGAGAUGUGGAGGAACACCAGUGGCGAAGGCGAGUCCCUGGACAACACCUGACACUGAGGCACGAAAGCUAGGGGAGCAAACAGG